GACGAACGCUGGCGGCGUGCUUAACACAUGCAAGUCGAACGGAAAGGCCCUGCUUGCAGGGUACUCGAGUGGCGAACGGGUGAGUAACACGUGGGUGAUCUGCCCUGCACUUCGGGAUAAGCCUGGGAAACUGGGUCUAAUACCGGAUAGGAGCCAUUUUUAGUGUGAUGGUUGGAAAGUUUUUUCGGUGUAGGAUGAGCUCGCGGCCUAUCAGCUUGUUGGUGGGGUAAUGGCCUACCAAGGCGGCGACGGGUAGCCGGCCUGAGAGGGGGGACGGCCACAUUGGGACUGAGAUACGGCCCAGACUCCUACGGGAGGCAGCAGUGGGGAAUAUUGCACAAUGGGCGCAAGCCUGAUGCAGCGACGCCGCGUGGGGGAUGACGGCCUUCGGGUUGUAAACUCCUUUCGCUAGGGACGAAGCUUUGUGUGACGGUACCUAGAGAAGAAGCACCGGCUAACUACGUG
Molecule: ribosomal RNA, 465 nt
Filed under: uncultured bacterium
Lineage: Bacteria
Description: partial 16S ribosomal RNA
Rfam family: Bacterial small subunit ribosomal RNA
Source: RNAcentral